CUUUUCAUCAACUUCUCUCCUCUCUCUGCUUUUUCUUCUCCAUCGAAGCACUUUGAGCUUUCUCCAGUUUCCUUCUUUGUCUCAUAUAUCUUUUGAGUGGCAUUAGCCAUAUCAUUGAGUGGAAAAUCCAUGCAUGUGGGUGUAAUUCCAAAAUGGUUUCCACAGUGCAGUGGUAUCCGAAACAAUUGUUUAGAUUGUUUUAUCCCAUGGACAUCAUGAGUAAUAGUCUGUUCGCACAUUUUUUGCAGUGUCACAAAACUGUUAGAAUUCUCUAUUAAUUGGUGAAAUACCAAUCCUAGGAUCUUGAAUGUCAUGAUUCUCACUCAAUAUGUAGAUCAAGGAUACAAAUCAAUGUCAUACCUAAAUCCAUGUUCUCAGAUUUGUUCCUUUGUAUGUAUUCAUAGAGAGGUUUUGGUAUAAUGGUCUUCCUCAACCAAAUCUCUGAUUCCUCCUGGGACCUUCGCUUUCUCUCUGAUGAAGAGAGACGAAAACUAUGUUUGAUUUGGUGUAUUGGGGACCAUAACCUUCCUGUGUGUUAACUUAAUAGGGUUCCCAUUAUUCCCUAUGAGUUUACUACUAUAGGUAUCCACUCAUUAAACUCAUAUCCAUUAUCACUUUAUAUUAGAAGUCAAAAGGGUUGUCAGUAAUAAUAUCACUUAUUUUAUAACCCCGAAAAUAAAAAGCCGAUAUAAUUGUAUAAAUAUACGUAUGGAAGAAGAGGUUGAUACUCUAUGGUUUGAAAUAGAAAAAUUUAACUCAACAAGGUUAUUUAAUUGCUUAAAUAUAACCUAAGAAUCUUUUGAAUAAUUACAAGCAGAUUUAAAAAUAUUUAAAAACUUAAAUGACUGAUUCCUUCCCAUAAUUGAAAUUAGACAAUUAUAUUGUCUUUUAACAAAGAAAAUUAAAUAGAUAUUUCUGUAUAGAAAAGUUCAUAAACAAAAUGUUAACUCCCAAAUUUAAAACCUUCUAAAAUAAAUAAUUUAAGCAAUUAAAGAGUUAAUGAAGAAGUGAUAUUAAACAUGAAUUUUUACAGUAAAUUACCUAAUCUCACAUGUUACUUCUUAUUUUUUAGCAUCACCAAAUUUCCACUAUAAUCAAUCACAUGUUAUUGUGAAUCUGUUAAUCUCACUCACAGAUUGUAAUUAAUACGAAAAUGAAAGAUCAUCAAUUAAAUAGCAAAUGACUUAAUAAAAACUAUUUAAAUGAAUUAAAGAACAAUUGAAUUUCAAAGUAAAUGAAAAUAACUUUAAAUGUGUUUCAGAUACUUGUAGUAUAAGUGUGGUAUCUCCUGUGCUCAUUCUUCAUGGUUUAGACUAUUAUAAAUUGUUCAUUUAAUGUAUUCAUUGUAGUAGUCAUUGUAAACUCGUAGAAUUCUACCAUUUUAUUUAAUGUGCAUUGAGACUCAUAUGUUUAAAUAGUAUUCCUCUCCAGUACUGGAGAGUCCAAUAUUAAGAAUGAGAGGGGGAAGUUUUUUUUUUAAAUUUAAUUUAAAAAAGUAAAAAAUUUGGACCAUUAAUUUUGUUUUUUUGGCACAUGUCAAAAUUCUAAAUAUAUACUGCCAUCUCCUGUAAUAAACAAAAUAAGUAAAAAAAAAACUCAGUUAAGAUUCCUUGGGUGCUUGUAUUGUUGUCUUUCUAAAAAUAGAACAUGUAUAAUAAUGCACUAUUAUACAUUCUAUGUUUUUUAUAGCAGAUUAUGGGUGUCCAGUGAUGGUAGUGUUUUAGACUGCACUAUCUUAUGGUAAACCAGGCCAAGUUCCACAUGGUGUUCCUAGAAGAGUGUUUUGCCCACUUCCCUGGAAACCUGCUUCUCUCUACCAUUGGACUAUAGUGAAGGAUAUGGGAAAGAUACUCGUGAUUUAUAUAUUGGUCGCAAUUCUUCCAGCUUUGAUGAUAGCAGGAGUCAGCUAGCACCAACAGAUUCAAGGCAAGUAAUAGGAACAAAGGAAAGGGGAAGGAAAAGACCCCCCUUAAAGAAUGGAAAAUCCAUAAAGAGAUGAAGUGCUUCUUCUAUAAGAAGAAUGGGCACUAGAAGGAGGAUUGUCCUAAAAUGAAGAAAUGUUUUGAAAAGAAAGGGAUUCAUUUCAAUCCAAACUAAGGAAACUGAGAAGUUUCUUUACAUUGGGAACAUAAUGAAGGCACAAGUUCAUGGAAUUGGAACAUAUAUAUUUAACCUAGAUAGU
Lupinus albus (white lupine) is the source of this 2182-nucleotide non-coding RNA. The record is from the annotation of a GenBank genome assembly. Lineage: Eukaryota; Viridiplantae; Streptophyta; Magnoliopsida; Fabales; Fabaceae.